CCCAUUAAUAUUGGUGAAAUGAGAAAGGAUUUCGCUGUGCCGAUUCUUGAAUUCUGCUUUCUUUGCGAGAAGGGAGCUCCAUGGAUUGGACAUAUUCAUGUACAGAGGAGAAAAAGCAUUUUGCAGUACAGAUUGUCGUGACAAACAUAUUAGAAGCGAUGAUCACAAUGAAAAAUGCGGAUCUGAAGCUAGGAAACCUUUUGACUACUCCGAGUCCCCAUGCUCCGGGCCGCUGAUGUUUUUUGCUGGGGUUGCUGCAGCCUGAAACUUAUAAUAUCAGUGUAAGUAAAUAAAAGAGAGGGUAAAGAGAAGGCGAACAGGGUAUCUAAAUAAACACACCCAUAUAUUGGCGGCUUAAUGAAGGCACUAAUACAUUAUAAAUAUAUAUAUAUAUAUUAAUAUGUAGGUUUGAGAUCUCAUGUUGGUCUCUUUGAUCUCAGAUUCUUUAAAAUAUUUAUGUGAGAUAAAAAAGGAUUUUCUUCUCUCCUGCGAUGUGAUUUGAACCAUAGAGGAUCUUGUCAAUAACUUCGACCUUAUAUUACUCAGGAGAAUGUUACAGGAGAUUCGUGCUCGCAACAUUAAUUAUAAGUAGUGGAAUUUUAACCGUUAGAUAUUCAA
Carica papaya (papaya) is the source of this 618-nucleotide non-coding RNA. Lineage: Eukaryota; Viridiplantae; Streptophyta; Magnoliopsida; Brassicales; Caricaceae. The record is from RefSeq and is a predicted model, not a curated record.